CCUACGGGGGGCAGCAGUGGGGAAUAUUGGACAAUGGGGGGAACCCUGAUCCAGCCAUGCCGCGUGUGUGAAGAAGGCCCUCGGGUUGUAAAGCACUUUCAGUGAGGAAGAACGCCUGGUGGUUAAUACCCAUCAGGAAAGACAUCACUCACAGAAGAAGCACCGGUUAACUCCGUGCCAGCAGCCGCGGUAAUACGGAGGGUGCGAGCGUUAAUCGGAAUUACUGGGCGUAAAGCGCGCGUAGGUGGCUUGAUAAGCCGGUUGUGAAAGCCCCGGGCUCAACCUGGGAACGGCAUCCGGAACUGUCAAGCUAGAGUGCAGGAGAGGAAGGUAGAAUUCCCGGUGUAGCGGUGAAAUGCGUAGAGAUCGGGAGGAAUACCAGUGGCGAAGGCGGCCUUCUGGACUGACACUGACACUGAGGUGCGAAAGCGUGGGUAGCAAACAGGAUUAGAUACCCCGGUAGUC
RNAcentral lists this ribosomal RNA (465 nucleotides) under Vreelandella stevensii. Its description in RNAcentral is "partial 16S ribosomal RNA". It matches the Rfam family "Bacterial small subunit ribosomal RNA", at positions 338 to 795 of the family's 1533-position model. The record is from RNAcentral. Lineage: Bacteria; Pseudomonadati; Pseudomonadota; Gammaproteobacteria; Oceanospirillales; Halomonadaceae.